AAAUCUCAACCUUCUCGGUUUCUUCUGGACACCGAAGGAGGCUUGGACUUUGGAGGCCUUUGCUGGCGUCUCUCUCUUUUGAGAGCCAGCUCCUCUUAAAUGAAUUAGCGGGGUCCUCUUUGCUGGUCCUCGACAUGUGAUAAGAUGUUUCCAUGUCUUGGUUUCUGGCUCUGUUGCUUUUGGGACCCGCUUCUAACCGUCUCAACGAGACAACGUUUGAGCGCGUCUCCCUUCUCGGGAGACCCUCUCAACCUCACGAAC
This 261-nucleotide unclassified non-coding RNA is filed under the name uncultured Lactarius. Its description in RNAcentral is "partial internal transcribed spacer 2". Lineage: Eukaryota; Fungi; Basidiomycota; Agaricomycetes; Russulales; Russulaceae. The record is from RNAcentral.